UGAUGCGGUCAUACCAAGGCUACUACACCAGAUCCCGUCAGAACUCUGAAGUUAAGCGCCUUUGGGCCGGAAUAGUACUGGGAUGGGUGACCU
This 93-nucleotide ribosomal RNA is filed under the name Anacolia laevisphaera. The record is from RNAcentral. Lineage: Eukaryota; Viridiplantae; Streptophyta; Bryopsida; Bartramiales; Bartramiaceae.